UACAGAGGUCUCAAGCGUUGUUCGGAUUCAUUGGGCGUAAAGGGUGCGUAGGUGGCGGGGCAAGUCAGGUGUGAAAUCUCGGGGCUCAACCCCGAAACUGCACUUGAUACUGCCUUGCUCGAGUACUGGAGAGGAGAUUGGAAUUUACGGUGUAGCAGUGAAAUGCGUAGAUAUCGUAAGGAAGACCAGUGGCGAAGGCGAAUCUCUGGACAGUUACUGACACUGAGGCACGAAGGCCAGGGGAGCAAACGGG
Molecule: ribosomal RNA, 253 nt
Filed under: uncultured bacterium
Lineage: Bacteria
Description: partial 16S ribosomal RNA
Rfam family: Bacterial small subunit ribosomal RNA
Source: RNAcentral